This 313-nucleotide signal recognition particle RNA is filed under the name Halobacteriales archaeon. Its description in RNAcentral is "signal recognition particle sRNA". It matches the Rfam family "Archaeal signal recognition particle RNA". Lineage: Archaea; Methanobacteriati; Methanobacteriota; Halobacteria; Halobacteriales. The record is from RNAcentral.
CAAGCGGAUAGGUUGGGCGGUUAGGCCCCGCUUCAUGCUCGCAAUAUGGUCUUAAGCGAGAAUCGAAACCAAGGUGCGUCUGUUCCAAAUUGGUUCAGGUCCCUGGACCCAACUGAGAAGCCUUGUCCAUUGGGGGCAGAGGUCUCUAGUAAAUGCAUGAAGGUGCGUUUAUAUGGAGUUAAUCGACAACAACUCGUCAGGCACGGAAGUGAACAGCGAAUUGUCGGACAUCUGUCGCUCAAUGGGGUGCGGGGUGGAGAAGGCGAUAGGAUAAACCCGUUCUGAGAAGUCGGGCAAACCUUACUUCCGCUUC